RNAcentral lists this ribosomal RNA (497 nucleotides) under uncultured bacterium. RNAcentral describes it as "partial 16S ribosomal RNA". It matches the Rfam family "Bacterial small subunit ribosomal RNA", at positions 28 to 507 of the family's 1533-position model. The record is from RNAcentral.
GAUGUACGCUGGCGGCGUGCCUAAUACAUGCAAGUCGAGCGAACAGACGAGGAGCUUGCUCCUUCGACGUUAGCGGCGGACGGGUGAGUAACACGUAGGUAACCUACCUAUAAGACUGGGAUAACUUCGGGAAACCGGAGCUAAUACCGGAUAAUAUUUCGAACCGCAUGGUUCGAUAGUGAAAGAUGGCUUUGCUAUCACUUAUAGAUGGACCUGCGCCGUAUUAGCUAGUUGGUAAGGUAACGGCUUACCAAGGCAACGAUACGUAGCCGACCUGAGAGGGUGAUCGGCCACACUGGAACUGAGACACGGUCCAGACUCCUACGGGAGGCAGCAGUAGGGAAUCUUCCGCAAUGGGCGAAAGCCUGACGGAGCAACGCCGCGUGAGUGAUGAAGGUCUUCGGAUCGUAAAACUCUGUUAUUAGGGAAGAACAAACGUGUAAGUAACUGUGCACGUCUUGACGGUACCUAAUCAGAAAGCCACGGCUAACUACGUG